This 439-nucleotide ribosomal RNA is filed under the name Mycoplasmopsis gallinarum. Its description in RNAcentral is "bacterial LSU rRNA". It matches the Rfam family "Bacterial large subunit ribosomal RNA", at positions 1439 to 1893 of the family's 2925-position model. Lineage: Bacteria; Bacillati; Mycoplasmatota; Mycoplasmoidales; Metamycoplasmataceae. The record is from RNAcentral.
CCUGUACUUUCUAUAAAUGUGAUGGAAUGACGGAGAAGGAUAGUUUUACCACUUAUUGGAUUGUGGGGUAAAUUUCAACUGGGACUAGCAGGCAAAUCCACUAGUCAAUACCGGGAGAAAUGACGCAUAGCCGYAAGGCGAAUUAAAUGAUUUCAUACUUCCAAGAAAAGUUUCUAAACUUAAAUUUAUGGAAACCUGUACCGAGAACGGACACACGUCCCCAAGAUGAGUAUUCUAAGGCGAGCGAGAAAACUAGUGUUAAGGAACUCUGCAAAAUGACCCCGUAAGUUCGCAAGAAGGGGCACCCAUGGUAAUACAUGGGUCACAGUAAAUUAUGAGGGGCAACUGUUUAUCAAAAACACAGCUCUCUGCUAAACCGCAAGGUGAUGUAUAGGGGGUGAAGCCUGCCCAGUGCCCGAAGGUUAAGUGGAUGCGUUAG